This 23-nucleotide microRNA is filed under the name Mus musculus (house mouse). RNAcentral describes it as "mmu-miR-8100". The record is from miRBase by way of RNAcentral. Lineage: Eukaryota; Metazoa; Chordata; Mammalia; Rodentia; Muridae.
AGGAGGAAAGGGAGCAAGCAGGU